Molecule: long non-coding RNA, 2669 nt
Organism: Oreochromis niloticus (Nile tilapia)
Lineage: Eukaryota; Metazoa; Chordata; Actinopteri; Cichliformes; Cichlidae
Product: retrovirus-related Pol polyprotein from transposon 17.6
Exons: 4
Source: RefSeq, a predicted model, not a curated record
CUUAUUGUUCGCUGCUCGUGAAGCAGUGCAAGAGUCCCUAGGCUUUAGUCCUGCAGAGCUUGUAUUUGGACAUGAAGUUAGAGGACCAUUGCAUAUCCUUAAAGAACAGCUAGUUGUUCCAACUAAAAAAACUGAAGCGCAUCCCUGAGUAUGUGGCUAAAAUUAGAGAGCGCCUUAAAUCGGCUUGCGCUAUUGCCAGGGACACCUUAACUGCUAGGCAGGUAAGGAUGAAAAAGCACUAUGAUCGGAGAGCUGUUGCUCGCCAGUUCAAACCUGGUGAUCAGGUUCUAGUUUUGCUCCCCAUUCUGGGCUCUUCUCUGAGAACAAAGUUUUCUGGACCAUAUGUGGUGGAAAAGAAACUUAGUGAGACCAAUUAUGUUGUUCAAACACCUGAUCGUCGUCGUAAGACCAGAGUAUGCCACGUUAACAUGAUGAAACAUUAUCUUUCUAGAGAGAAUGAAGAUGGUCCCCUCACUCCGCACAAGGUUGCGUCUAGCUCUCCUGUAGCAUGCGUAACUUCAGAGAUAGCCAAUGAAAGCAGUGAGGAGGAUGUGGUCCUGGGCAAAGAUGUGUCACAGGGUACGAGACUCAGUAAAAGUGAGAUUUUGUCUGACUUGCCCCACUAUUUGUCUCACCUGUCACUUGAUCAGGCUGAAGACAUUCAGAACCUGAUUUUGUCUUUCCGGUGUAUGUUUGGGGAUAUUCCUACCCAGACGAGUUUGAUAUCCCAUGACAUUGUUCUUACCAAUCCUGCACCAAUUAAACAACGUGCAUAUAGAGUCAAUCCUAUCAAAAGAGAGGUUAUGCAAAAGGAAGUAGAAUAUCUAAUUAGGAAUGGACUUGCCAUACCCAGUUGUAGCCCCUGGAGUUCCCCAUGUUUGUUGGACAUUAAAGCUGAUGGCAGUCCACGGUUCUGUACGGACUUCCGCAAAGUGAAUGCUGUGACAGUUCCUGACGCAUACCCCUUGCCCCUCAUCGAUGAUUGCAUUGAUGACAUCGGACCUGCCACAUUUAUCACUAAACUGGAUAUGUUAAAAGGUUACUGGCAGAUUCCUUUAACCAAAAGGGCAUCAGAGAUAUCUGCUUUUGUAACUCCGGACAGUUUCCUCCAGUACACAGUCAUGCCAUUUGGGUUAUGUAAUGCACCAGCUACAUUUCAGAGGCUGGUGAACAAAGUACUGGGUGAUGUUCCAAACUGUCGGGUGUAUCUAGAUGACAUUGUUGUGUAUUCCAGUGAAUGGGCAGAGCAUCUUGCUACCUUGUCAGCUGUAUUUGAACGCCUCUCAGCUGCCUCGCUGACUUUGAAUCUUGCCAAGUGUGAGUUUGGUAAAAGCACCAUUCUCUAUCUAGGCCAACAAGUUGGCGGAGGAAAGGUAUGCCCAGUGGAUGCCAAGAUCCGUGCCAUUUCGACCUUUCCAGUUCCAUCUACAAGAAGGGAGCUACGUCGUUUUCUUGGAAUGGCCGGAUAUUAUCGCCGGUUCUGUAAGAACUUCUCAACAGUAGCUGCCCCGUUGACUGCCUUGACCAGUCCCUCAGUUCCAUUUUUCUGGUCUGAUGAAUGCCAACAUGCCUUUGAGAAUCUUAAAGGAUUGCUUACAUGUUCACCUGUUCUCUCCGCCCCAGACUUCAGCCGACCAUUCAAGUUGGAGGUCGAUGCUAGCGCCGUUGGGGUAGGUGCUGUCCUUCUACAGGAAGAGCAGGAUGGACUCGAUCACCCUGUGUGCUACUUCUCAAAGAAGUUCACUCUUCCUCAGAGAAGGUAUUCCACAAUCGAACAAGAAACUCUUGCCGUUCUGUUGGCUUUGCAACAUUUUGAGGUUUAUCUUGGAUUAAGUGUAGAACCCAUAAAAGUCUUUACAGACCACAAUCCGCUUGUUUUCCUUUCAAGGAUGUACAAUAACAACCGUCGGCUUAUGAGGUGGUCUUUAAUCAUCCAAGAGUAUAACCUUCAGAUCUGCCAUAAAAAAAGGGACAGAAAAUGUCCUGGCUGAUGCACUAUCCCGUGCCCUGUAGUCUGUUUAGGGUUUUUGUUUGUGUUUGAAGGAUCCAAACUUUUUGUUUGGACUUGUAAGGGUGGGGGUGUUACGUGUCUGCAGGCUGCAUGUUUUCUUUCCCUCUCCUUUUGUUUGCUAAUCCCUUAGGUCGCAGACUGCAGGCUGAUGUCAAUCUGGGGAUGUCCAACUAAUUAGAGGAGGGAGACCCUGAUUGGACAAACCAGGAGUGCACACCUUGAUAAGGAGACUCACCUGUGGCUGGGCGCGGCCUCUCUUCCCUCCUUUGAAAUGUUUGUCUCAUGUGUAAAGCUCCUCUGCUGUGUUUCUUUUGUUUGAUGGUUGUGGUGGGAGUAAAAGUGGACUAGUUCUCUCCAGAUCCAUCUCCUGUCAUGCUUAUCAGCAGUGCUGGUUCCGUUUCCACCCUAGUUCUCUUGUCUUCCUGCAAAUUAAGGAUUCCACACCCACCUGCUCUUUGGCCGGCCUGCCCUCUGUGUCAACGGUGGAUCUCUUCCCCCUCUGGACCCCUAGAAGUUCCCGCCUGUGGUUUCCUUGUGUUCUGCGUGCCCGAACGAUUCUCCAUCCCCUGGUUUCCAACAGCACCUGUUCAUAGUUUCAGUUAAUAUUCAUGCUCUUGUUUAAGAUGAUUAUUUAUGUGAAUAAAUCAUGUAAAUAGUU